RNAcentral lists this ribosomal RNA (524 nucleotides) under uncultured Pseudomonadota bacterium. RNAcentral's name for it is "bacterial SSU rRNA". It matches the Rfam family "Bacterial small subunit ribosomal RNA", at positions 17 to 523 of the family's 1533-position model. Lineage: Bacteria; Pseudomonadati; Pseudomonadota. The record is from RNAcentral.
UCCUGGCUCAGAGCGAACGUUAGCGGCGGGCCUAACACAUGCAAGUCGAGCGAGAAAAGGGCUUCGGCCCUGAGUAAAGCGGCGGACGGGUGAGUAACACGUAGGUAAUCUUCCCUUGAGCGGGGGACAACGAGCCGAAAGGCUCGCUAAUACCGCAUAAGUUCCCAGGGUCCUCGGACCUUGGGAGGAAAGCUAGGUAGCAAUAUCCGGCACUCGAGGAGGAGCCUGCGUAGCAUCAGCUAGUUGGUGGGGUAAUGGCCUACCAAGGCGAAGACGCUUAGCUGGUCUGAGAGGAUGAUCAGCCACACUGAAACUGAGACACGGUUCAGACUCCUACGGGAGGCAGCAGUGGGGAAUAUUGGACAAUGGGCGCAAGCCUGAUCCAGCCACGCCGCGUGAGUGAUGAAGGCCUUCGGGUCGUAAAGCUCUGUGGGGAGGGACGAACCGCCGGAGGUUAAUAGCUUCCGGCAUGACGGUACCUCCUUAGCAAGCACCGGCUAACUUCGUGCCAGCAGCCGCGGUAA